RNAcentral lists this ribosomal RNA (402 nucleotides) under bacterium. Its description in RNAcentral is "partial 16S ribosomal RNA". It matches the Rfam family "Bacterial small subunit ribosomal RNA", at positions 355 to 776 of the family's 1533-position model. The record is from RNAcentral.
UGGGGAAUUUUGCACAAUGGGGGAAACCCUGAUGCAGCGACGCCGCGUGAUUUAGAAGGCCUUCGGGUUGUAAAAAUCUUUUCUAUGGGAAGAAAAUGACAGUACCAUAGGAAUAAGGACCGGCUAAUUACGUGCCAGCAGCCGCGGUAAUACGUAAGGUCCGAGCGUUGUCCGGAAUCAUUGGGCGUAAAGGGUACGUAGGCGGGUAAGCAAGUUAGAAGUGAAAUCCUAUAGCUCAACUAUAGUAAGCUUUUAAAACUGCUCAUCUUGAAGUAUGGAAGGGAAAGUGGAAUUCCUAGUGUAGCGGUGAAAUGCGCAGAUAGUAGGAGGAAUACCGGUGGCGAAGGCGACUUUCUGGCCAUAACCUGACGCUGGGGUACGAAAGCGUGGGUAGCAAACAGG